UGGCCAAACUACCCUACAGACCGCGAUAACCUCGGGAAACUGAGGCCAAUAGCCGGAUAUAACUCUCAGGCUGGAGUGCCGAGAGUUAGAAACGUUCCGGCGCUGUAGGAUGUGGCUGCGGCCGAUUAGGUAGAUGGUGGGGUAACGGCCCACCAUGCCGAUAAUCGGUACAGGUUGUGAGAGCAAGAGCCUGGAGACGGUAUCUGAGACAAGAUACCGGGCCCUACGGGGCGCAGCAGGCGCGAAACCUUUACACUGCACGACAGUGCGAUAGGGGGACUCCGAGUGUGAGGGCAUAUAGCCCUCGCUUUUCUGAACCGUAAGGUGGUACAGGAACAAGGACUGGGCAAGA
RNAcentral lists this ribosomal RNA (352 nucleotides) under halophilic archaeon. Its description in RNAcentral is "bacterial SSU rRNA". It matches the Rfam family "Archaeal small subunit ribosomal RNA", at positions 101 to 451 of the family's 1478-position model. Lineage: Archaea; Methanobacteriati; Methanobacteriota; Halobacteria; Halobacteriales. The record is from RNAcentral.